Long non-coding RNA from Saccostrea cuccullata (small rock oyster), 2045 nucleotides. RefSeq lists it as uncharacterized. The record is from RefSeq and is a predicted model, not a curated record. The transcript is spliced from 3 exons. NCBI's taxonomy places the organism in Eukaryota, Metazoa, Mollusca, Bivalvia, Ostreida, Ostreidae.
AGGUGAAGGUAAUUUAUACAUGUACAAAUCCAGGCUUCAAUUUUUCUUUGCAUCGUUUAUCAUUAAAAUUGAACAGGAUUUGUAAAAAGAAUUUGUCCACUAUAUUCGUUUAGUCUCUUACUAUAUCUGACGGCCACUAUGUAUAGAGCUGCUCACUUAGUCACUGUUCAGUGUAAUCAAUCGUCAACAGUGUAGAGGACGUAUGCUAUACUACACUCGAUAGCGACAGAAUUAGUUCUUUAAAUGCAGGAGAGUAAAAUACCAAAGGGACUUGCAACAGUUGCUCAGAUUAGUGCAACAUACAAACAAGCACAAAUGCACGCAUCUGCAGUGUCACCAAAGGUAAUGCAAGACGACCAGCACGACCACGGGUCGCCAUUUAAUGCCGAUACCUUGACAAUUAACGAAUGCGAAGAGUGUACAAUGGUGCUGAUAUCGUAGAUAGUAAAGUCUAAAAUAGCGUACGCGUAUUUACGAUACUUGUUCAACUUAAACUUUAUCUAUUCUAUAAAAUAAAGACAGAGAAACAUUAACAUUUUGAUAUAAAAAUAACUUUUUUUUAUAAUAUAGUGAAUUUGGAAGUUUAUCUGUGAGUUUCAUUUUAUAUAUUGUAUAUUGGUGUGUGUAUGUGUGUAUGUUUUAUGUCCUGUUCAGUGAUUUUUUAGUUUAACUAUCACUGUGCAUCGUCGGAAAUCCAGGACUGAAUACGCUUCCUUCCUCUCUCCAUCAUAUGGGUGAUGGAGAGAGGCGCAGAACGUAAUCACUCGUGGGUUUCCGACGAUAUCACUGUGUGUCUAUGAUUUAAGUACAGUUUAGUUAUUUUUAUUUUUCUAUCACAGUGUGUCUAUAAUAUAUGCCCUGUUAAUUUAUUUUUAUUUUAUUUAUCACAGUGUGUCUAUAAUUUAUGUCCUGUUAAUUUAUUUUUAUUUUUCUAUCACUGUGUGUCUAUAAUUUAUGUCCUGUUAAUUUAUUUUUAUUUUAUUUAUCACAGUGUGUCUAUAAUUUAUGUCCUGUUCAGUGAUUUUUAUUGUUUCGGUGAAAAGUUGUCAUGUUACAGGUACCACUGUAAGCUCUCUGCUCUUACCUGUUACAGGUAACGUUGUUAGUUGUCAGUUUUCAGCUGAUACAGGUAUACUUUGUACAUACAAGGUGUCAGUUAUUGUUUGUUACAGUUGUACUGUAUACCUAUUGUAAGAUAUCAGGUGUUACAGUUACUCAUUGUAGGAUGUCAGUUCUUGCCUGUUACAGUUACCCAUUGUAAAAUGUCAGUUCUUGCAUGUUACAGUUACCAAAUGAAAGAUGUGAGGUCUUGCCUGUUACAGUUACCCAUUGUAGGAUGAAACUUGGAGAUAACGAACAGUAUUCCAUAUCGAAAGUCUAUAAAACAAUACAAAAUAGUAGCAGAGCAAACACGGACCUCUUAAAUAUCAGGGGUGGGAUCAGGUGCAACGGAGGAGUAAGCAUCCCCUGCCGACCGGUCACACCCGCUGUGAUUACCUUGUCAUGAUCGGGAAAUAACAGAAGAAUCUGUCGUCAGUUCAGUGUAUGAAUAAUGGACUAACAAUCAGUUUGAAAACGCCACUCAGUAUUUGACUCAAUGAUAAAUUGUUUUUGCUGACGAGGUCAUUGUAUCAACGUUAGAACUUACGAAAUAAUGACUUUAAACGAGGCUGCUGAUAUUCUUGUUUAACCAAAUCGUCAUUAAUUUACCUCGUUUUAGAAAUUGUUCAUACGAGGGACAUGCUCUUGCGUAUCGAAUCAACUGAGAGAUGUAAACUCCGUAUGCAGGUGAUGAAGGUAUAUUGCUGCAUAAGUAAAGGAAGUUGACGAUAGAAAAGUUAAAGUCAUCACGAUAUAGAGCUUGGUUCCACAGGCACUUGUUUCUGUAAUAAAUUUUUGACCCAAAGUAUAAGGAUAACACAAGGUAUCUAACUCCAAUUUACACCGAGUACCCCCCCCCCUCCCUUAGAAUUGCGCUCAUUUACACUUUCAGAGGAAAUGCACGGGUUAACUGUUUAUACCUAUGUCUUCUACGAUAAUUUAUC